CUGAGGCAAGAGGCCAACUGUCAGGGUCCUUCUCCGUCUCUUUUCUCUUCCCUGCUCAUGGCCCAUCAUUAGUUUGUGGUUUGGGUCAUUAUUAUGAUUAUGAGUAUGGCUAUUAUUUUUAAUGCCCACAAAAGUAACAGGCUUAUUGAAAAAAACAAAUGUUAAAAAUUAUAAUGCAAAGAACGAGAAUACCUUUCACUAUCCUGUACACACACACACGAACACGUUUUAGGUUGAUUCCUAUAGAUUUUUUUCAUGCAUAUUCAUGCAACAUCCAUUUAGUCAACAUCCAUUUAGUCAACAAUCACAUUAUUAUCAUCAUUCUUAUUUACAUCAUUUUCAUACUAUACGUACUCUUGUAACUAAUUAACACUGUACCUUGUUUUUUUUAAAAUUUUUUCCAUAAUGAUACCCAUCUACAGUGUUGAUCUAUAGUGUUGGUAACAGUUUCACCAGCAUAUUUCAUUGUGUAGAUGAAUAUAAUUUUUUAACUUUAUAGUUUCCUGUCUUUCACUAUUAUAAAGGAUCUGGCUAUAUAUGGUCUUUUAUGUAUACGUGGUGCAUUGAUGGGGUAAUAAUACUACAGUAUUCUAGCUAACAUUUGCACGUUAUUUACUAUGGGCACUAUCUGACAGGUAGUGAGAGCUUUACCUAUACUCAUCAUUUAAUCCUCACCACAACCUGAUUAGUAUUAUUAUCUCUGUUUUACAGAUGGAGAAAUUGAGCAUGGAACACUAAGAAAUUUGCCCAAGCUUACCAGGGGAAUGCAGCUGCCAUGUCAUGAGCACACUCAAGCAGCCCUCUGGAGAGGCUCAUCUGGAGAAGAACUGGAGCUUCUCACUGUCAUCCAGCACCAGCCAUAAGAGUAAGCCAACUUAGACCCGGAUCCUCCAGCCCCAGCCAGGCUUUCUGGAUGUUUCAGCCAACAUCUUGACUUUACCCUCCUGAGACUUUCAUGAGAGGCAGAAAUAUCCACUGAAGCUGCUCCCGAAUUUGUGGCUCACAGAUACUGAGCUCAGAUACUGUGUGAGAUAAUAAAUGUUUAUUGUU
Molecule: long non-coding RNA, 1050 nt
Filed under: Homo sapiens (human)
Lineage: Eukaryota; Metazoa; Chordata; Mammalia; Primates; Hominidae
Description: HSALNT0034012
Source: RNAcentral